This 73-nucleotide transfer RNA is filed under the name Lachnospiraceae bacterium. Its description in RNAcentral is "tRNA-Thr". It matches the Rfam family "tRNA". From Rfam's summary of the family: Transfer RNA (tRNA) molecules are approximately 80 nucleotides in length. Their secondary structure includes four short double-helical elements and three loops (D, anti-codon, and T loops). The record is from RNAcentral. RNAcentral also lists the same sequence under 1 other name. Lineage: Bacteria; Bacillati; Bacillota; Clostridia; Lachnospirales; Lachnospiraceae.
GCCACAAUAGCUCAGUCGGUAGAGCACUUCACUCGUAAUGAAGGGGUCGCAGGUUCGAAUCCCGUUUGUGGCU